This 61-nucleotide transfer RNA is filed under the name Ixodes hexagonus (hedgehog tick). RNAcentral's name for it is "tRNA-Pro". Lineage: Eukaryota; Metazoa; Arthropoda; Arachnida; Ixodida; Ixodidae. The record is from RNAcentral.
CAGAAAAUAGUAUAUAGUAAGUACAUAAAUUUUGGAUAUUUAAAGAGAAUUUCUUUUCUGA